UCUGGCUCAUAUAUAUGUAUAAACUGUAUCUUCAGAUCAUUUAAUCUCCUAAACCAUUUACUAUUUACUUUUCAGUAAAAUGGGGAUUUUAAUACCUACUUGACAGAUUUUGUUUUGAGGAAUAAGGGAAGUGAUAGAUGGCAAGCACUUAGCACAAAGUAUAGAAAAAUGGCACUCGUGAACAAUUUCCACUUCUUGUCGAAUCAAAUGAAUUCACCCUUAUCUUGAACUUUGUGCCUCAUUUGAUAGUUUGGGAUUUUCCUUCCCUCUUCAUCCUUAGCAUGUGGCGUCUGUGAAUAACUCUCCUGAUUUUCUUCCUACUUAUUUGCUCCCUAGUCUUUAUAUAUUCCUCGGUUAUGCUCACCAUAUAAAAUGUUGGGGAUUCUUUGAAAUUUUGUUCUGGGCCCUCUUCUCACUUUACAAACACUCCCUGAGCAGUCUUAAAUUCUCAUCACUUCUUCCAUCUUCACACUUACUUCAUUAUCUAUUCUUGUGUCUUGAUAUCCCUCCUGAGCUCUAGGUCUUGUCUUGGAUUGUCCUUGGAUUUCUCAAAUGUAAUAAGGCCCAAACAGGAAUCUCAUACUAGCCUGGGGUUUCUCUUAAUAUCCCUCAAUAUAGUGAAUGGUAUGACCAACCACCUUAUGCGUUAAGCCAGGAAUCUUGCUUUCCUCUCCAACUUCCCAACCCAAUAAAUCACUACAUUCUGUUGAUUUUUAAAGGUACUUGUUAUAGCUGGCUCUUUAAUCCAUCUUUUUAUAUCUCUUUGCUGCUGACUCAUUUCAGGUUUUCUUUCUUCCUUGGAUUACUAUAAUAGCCUUCUCAUGGACUCUGUUCCUAGUAACUCAUGUCCAAUCCAGCCUUUCACAACUACCAGAAUGAUCUUGAAACAAUUCUGAUCUUGACAGUUUGCUAUUUAAACUGCACCCUCAAAAUAAGAUUAAAUAUCAUUGCUAAAAUCUCACUCCUGCCUACCACUGUUGCCUCACACUCCAGGUGUUCUGCCAGCCAAACGAUUUACAAUUCCCCAAGCCAUCUGUUCACCCUUUCUUCUUUGCCUCUGCAUAAGCUAUAUCUUCUGCUUAGAUUUCUCCUUACCCAAAUUUUCCUCCCAUGAUAAUAGCUAAUAUUUAUUGAAUUAUAUCAUUUAAUUUUCACAGCCACCCAAUGAUAGCUACUAUCACCUUCAUUUCACAGAAACAGGUAUAGAUUAUGAAACUAUCAUAUCAUUAUUAGCCGACAGAUUCAGGAUCUGACUUCCAAGUUCUUAACUACAAUAAUAUUUUUUCUCUUUUCAUUCCAUUUAGGCCUCUGUUUCACAGUUUCUGCAGUAGAUCAUGCUUGAUUCUGAAUCCAGCGUUUUCCCAGGCACAGAGAAAUGAGAGAACAGCUGCCACAAUCCUGGGACACUGUGGAAGAGCUUUUUUGCAUGGGGGAUUCUGCAGUAUCCAGAGGUACAAGAAGAUAAAAAUGGGUAUCCCAACGCAGGUCUUCACAGCAUGCUCUCAGCACAAGGAACAA
This is a long non-coding RNA of Myotis brandtii (Brandt's bat), 1518 nucleotides long. RefSeq lists it as uncharacterized. The record is from RefSeq and is a predicted model, not a curated record. The transcript is spliced from 2 exons. NCBI's taxonomy places the organism in Eukaryota, Metazoa, Chordata, Mammalia, Chiroptera, Vespertilionidae.